UACGGAGGAUCCAAGCGUUAACCGGAAUUAUUGGGCGUAAAGCGUCCGCAGGCGGUUUGCCAAGUUGAUUAUGAAAUACCGACGCUCAACGUCGGUGCUGUAGUCAAAACUGGUAAACUAGAGGUAUGGAGAGGUGCGUGGAAUUGUGCAAGUAGGGGUAAAAUCCGUAGAUAUGCACAGGAACACCAAAAGCGAAGGCAGCGCACUGGCCAUUAUCUGACGCUCAGGGACGAAAGCGUGGGGAGCGAAAGGG
Molecule: ribosomal RNA, 253 nt
Filed under: uncultured bacterium
Lineage: Bacteria
Description: partial 16S ribosomal RNA
Rfam family: Bacterial small subunit ribosomal RNA
Source: RNAcentral